AUGGCGUCGCAGUUUCUUUAGUGAACUGCGGCGUGAAUGCGAGUUCCAAGUGGGCCAUUUUUGGUAAGCAGAACUGGCGCUGUGGGAUGAACCAAACGUGGAGUUAAGGUGCCUAACUUCUCGCUUAUGAGACCCCAUAAAAGGUGUUGGUUGAUAUUGACAGCAGGACGGUGGCCAUGGAAGUCGGUACCCGCUAAGGAGUGUGUAACAACUCACCUGCCGAAUCAACUAGCCCUGAAAAUGGAUGGCGCUUAAGCGAGAGACCUAUACUCCGCCGUCGCGGCAUGUGCGUUGUCUAGCGCCAGGUCGCGACGAGUAGGAAGGACGUGGCGGUUGCGUUGAAGGCUAUGAGCGUAGGCUCGGCUGGAGCUUCCGUCAGUGCAGAUCGUAAUGGUAGUAGCAAAUAUUCAAGUUCGAUCCUUGAAGACUGAAGUGGAGAAGGGUUCCACGUGAACAGUAGUUGGAUGUGGGUCAGUCGAUCGUAAGGUACUGGCGAAAGCCUUGUAUCAUCGGUGGCGAAAAGCUUGCUUUUUGUCCCCGCCCGUCGAAAGGGAAUAGGGUUAAUAUUCCCUAACUGAGAUGCAAAGAUUGUGUUCUUCGGAGCACAAGCGCGGUAACGCGUUCGAACUUGGUAAGUCGCUCAGAGACCGAGCUAGAGUUUUCUUCUCUAGUUAAGGAACGGACUCCCUGGAAUUGGUUCAGCCAGAGAUGGGGACGUUGUUUCCGAAAAGCACCGCGGUUUCUGUGGUGUCUCGUGCUCUCUGAACGGCCCUUUAAACACCAAGGGAGGCUAUUAAUUUGCACUCAAUCGUACCGAUAUCCGCAUUAGGUCUCCAAGGUGAACAGCCUCUAGUCGAUAGAAUAAUGUAGGUAAGGGAAGUCGGCAAACUAGAUCCGUAACUUCGGGAAAAGGAUUGGCUCCAGUGGUCGGAACGGUUGGCCAGUUGGUUGAUGCUUGUCCGGCGCUGUUCUGUCUGCUUGAUGCUUUCGGGCUGAUGGCGGCCUAGUGAUAGUGCUUGCUUGUUGACGCUUUCUGGUGUGUGCUUUGACCUCGGUCUUAGUAUCCUGAUCGUUCAUCUAAACGACUAAACUGGAACCGGUACGGACUCAGGGAAUCCGACUGUCUAAUU
RNAcentral lists this non-coding RNA (1130 nucleotides) under Caenorhabditis japonica. Its description in RNAcentral is "Eukaryotic large subunit ribosomal RNA". It matches the Rfam family "Eukaryotic large subunit ribosomal RNA", at positions 1075 to 2147 of the family's 3401-position model. The record is from Rfam by way of RNAcentral. Lineage: Eukaryota; Metazoa; Nematoda; Chromadorea; Rhabditida; Rhabditidae.